AACGAACGCUGGCGGCAGGCCUAACACAUGCAAGUCGAGCGCCCCCCGCAAGGGGGGAGCGGCGGACGGGUGAGUAACGCGUGGGAAUUUUCCUCAAGGUACGGAACAACUCAGGGAAACUUGGGCUAAUACCGUAUGAUGUCUAGCGACCAAAGAUUUAUCGCCUUGGGAUAAGCCCGCGUCAGAUUAGGUAGUUGGUGGGGUAACGGCCUACCAAGCCUGCGAUCUGUAGCUGGUCUGAGAGGACGAUCAGCCACACUGGGACUGAGACACGGCCCAGACUCCUAUGGGUGGCAG
RNAcentral lists this ribosomal RNA (297 nucleotides) under uncultured Pseudomonadota bacterium. RNAcentral describes it as "uncultured proteobacterium partial 16S ribosomal RNA". It matches the Rfam family "Bacterial small subunit ribosomal RNA", at positions 29 to 351 of the family's 1533-position model. The record is from RNAcentral. Lineage: Bacteria; Pseudomonadati; Pseudomonadota.